UAUAUAAUCAUAAAUGGGUUUCGCGAAGGACAUAGAGUAUGGUUGAGAAACAAACAACAGUAAUAUAUUUGGUGUUUAUCUAGAAAAACUACCGGCUGGUUACUUUAGCCGCAUUUUCUUAGUGUGUGAAAUGAAUUUUUCAAUUUCCCACUAAAGCAAAGUUUCAUUUUCCCGCUCCCUACCCACACCCACGCCCCCACUCUCAAAUUAAUAUUGACUCAAAUGCACAGGGGUUUGUUUAGGGUUCUUCCAUCGUCAACUAUCCCCCUUCCUUUGAACUAACAUCCAUGGUUCGUUUAGGAACUUGUGAUCAUUAACAGCGACAAUGCAUAUGUGGGGGUGAAUGAUAGAGAUGGAACCACUGAACGGACCUCUUUCUCGAUCGAUUUAGGUUCAUUAGUCAACCAAGAUAAGGGAAAAUCAAAGAUAUUAUGCGUAAAGUAUUUGCAGUUGCUUUAUUGUAGACCAACUGUUUGAUAUAAUGUAUGUACAUGUUGUUAGUUGGUGUGGUUGUUUUGUUGCAGAUCAACUAUUACAGGAAGAAAAUCCUGAUCGAUAAGUUGUUCAAUUCCACUUUGUGAGAUGUUAUCUCUUAUUAUAUUAUCGGUUUCAUUCACUAUGGCUGCAGGAAGUCUUUUCUUAAAAGUAAUAGUUAAUCUGUGUUUGAUGGAGGUAAUGGAGGCAUGCAUUAUCAUGUGGUUUUGAUUAAAAAAAUGUGUGGAAACUAAGGUAAUCUUUGUUUAAGCUUACUUAAAAAACGUGACAGACAGUUUCAAUUUAAUGUUCUGGAUGAAAUUUGUUAAGGGUCUGUGGACCACAAUCGCCAAAUUUGGAUUAUGUGGUUUGUGAAUUAUCACUUUUCUGCACAUCAAGAGGCUGGAAAUCGUUGCAUACGAUUUUAAUUAUGUAUAUUUCGGGCAAUGUCUUUUACUUCGGCGGGCACACGGACUGUGAUCUUCGAUUCAAAUUCUUCGUGUAGCAUAUGUAGGUACAUUCUUUCCUUGACAUGUUUUUAUUUUAACUGGUGUUGCUCUUAAUAGUAUGUGGAUAAUGGUUUGUCAAAGAUAUAUGAGGCAAAAUAUGGUUUUCUUUUAAGGUGACUUUAAUUAUUUGGCCGAAUGAUUUCUGUUACGAUGAAGCAGGGGACUUAAUCUCAGAAAGGAAAUUGGAAUGACUUAAUUAAAGAGAGCGACCAACAUAACACAACACUGAAAUCUCAAAUUCUUUUCCAUGGAAUGCCUAAAGCUGUAGAUUAGCAUAGAUAAAUUAGCAUUUCUAGUUACCCUUGUUGCUUACAUUGAUCUGAUGAAUUUGCAACCUUAAUUAUGGUGCAAUGAAGUGUAAUUUUUUUUUUGCGACAAGCCGACAACCAUCCAACUUUAACAUUUACAUCUAAUUUGAAUUUUCUAGUUUUUGCUUAAA
Lactuca sativa (garden lettuce) is the source of this 1422-nucleotide non-coding RNA. The record is from RefSeq and is a predicted model, not a curated record. Lineage: Eukaryota; Viridiplantae; Streptophyta; Magnoliopsida; Asterales; Asteraceae.